UAUUGCGAGGGAUACGAGUCUGCUGUUUUGACUGGCAUUUUAAUGCUUAUUAUGAAAUCCAGGAAGACCGGCAUAAUUUGUGCAGUUAAGGCUCUUACAGACUACAUGACUUUAAAACGUAGGUCCAAACUGCGCGGUUCACACUACAUGACUUGCUCUCUGUGAAAUCAGGAGUGUUCACGUUGUUGAGCAGUUCACACCACACGACACAACGCGAAUGCCCCACAACAGGAGGUAACGCACUACACGAGUUGAAAACAACUCUAUCACCCAACGAUUCUAUCUUGUCUACAAACCACGUUCUGUCAUGAAAAAUCACGCGAUAAAACAAACCGGAAAUGACGCGAAACAACACGCGCGCCAGUAAACCCACAGAAGAAGAAACCAGAAGACGCGCAAAACUUUUGUUUGUAUAUAUAGACUUCAGACAGAAAUUAGUGCUGCAAACCGUUUGCGCGAUGCAAAGCCGCAAAAGAAAAAAAAUUAUAGAGAUGUGAUGUGGAGAGGUGGAUCAGAACCACACGCGGACAGCAGGGAUUAAAGAUUUGAGGUGAGUAACUGUUACAGCUUGUUUAAUAUAGCUGCAUGCUUAUGUUUGGCUAUGAUCACAUUUAAAAUAUCAAAGUGUUGUCUACUGUGCUUAAAAGCUGUGUUUCUUGAUUUAAUUAUCGUUCAAAUAGAAUAGGACAGGCUUCGCAAAACAUGAUUUGGAGAGCGUUUGUCUUUGACCCUGCGAUUCUAUGCAACAGGUGACACGUUCAAGUUCAUCAGGUUCAAGUCCAGGAUGGGGGACCAGCACCAUCUCACAAAUAGUUUUGGAUGUUCUGCUCUGUACCAGGUUAUAAAGGACAAUUUCUUGAAGACACCAUCAACGGAAGGAGAGUGGCAUACGAUAGCCAUGGACUUCGAAAGGAAGUGGCAUUUAUUGCUUUGGGGUACUUGCUACCACUCCAGCUGUAGCAGACUGCUGACCACAACAUGGUUGAUGGGCAGUGGAAGAAUCAUGGGAUGGG
Non-coding RNA from Misgurnus anguillicaudatus (oriental weatherfish), 1013 nucleotides. NCBI's taxonomy places the organism in Eukaryota, Metazoa, Chordata, Actinopteri, Cypriniformes, Cobitidae. The record is from RefSeq and is a predicted model, not a curated record.